GACUCUCGGCAACGGAUAUCUCGGCUCUCGCAUCGAUGAAGAACGUAGCGAGAAAUGCGAUACCUGGUGUGAAUUGCAGAAUCCCGCGAACCAUCGAGUCUUUGAACGUAAGUUGCGCCCGAGGCCUCUUGGCCGAGGGCACGCCUGCCUGGGCGUCA
Molecule: ribosomal RNA, 158 nt
Organism: Lolium perenne
Lineage: Eukaryota; Viridiplantae; Streptophyta; Magnoliopsida; Poales; Poaceae
Product: 5.8S ribosomal RNA
Source: RefSeq, a predicted model, not a curated record